UAUACAAAGGUAUUGAAAUAAGAUUUUAAAUGAGUGCUAAGARRAUGAUUGAWCAAUUAUAGGCUUUCUUUAGUUAAAUAAUUAAAUUUAAUUUUUUUAGUGCAAAAGCAAAAAUUAAAUUUAGGGACAAGAAGACCCUAUGAAUUUUAAUUUAAUUUAUAAUUUGAAAUUUUAAAUUAAAUUUGAUUGGGGCGAUGGAAAAAGAAUGAGUAUCUUUUUUAGUUUUAAAAAUUGGUUCCGUUUUUAACGAUUAAAUGAGAAAAAUACUCUAGGGA
This 275-nucleotide ribosomal RNA is filed under the name Ixodes persulcatus (taiga tick). Its description in RNAcentral is "partial large subunit ribosomal RNA". Lineage: Eukaryota; Metazoa; Arthropoda; Arachnida; Ixodida; Ixodidae. The record is from RNAcentral.